UCCACGAUCGUGUCUUCAUCGGUCUUU
RNAcentral lists this small RNA (27 nucleotides) under Arabidopsis thaliana (thale cress). RNAcentral describes it as "ATSL015160". Lineage: Eukaryota; Viridiplantae; Streptophyta; Magnoliopsida; Brassicales; Brassicaceae. The record is from RNAcentral.